This 809-nucleotide ribosomal RNA is filed under the name uncultured bacterium. RNAcentral's name for it is "bacterial SSU rRNA". It matches the Rfam family "Bacterial small subunit ribosomal RNA", at positions 541 to 1346 of the family's 1533-position model. The record is from RNAcentral.
UNGUACGGAAUUAUUGGGCGUAAAGAGCUCGUAGGCGGUUUCGUCGCGUCUUUUGUGAAAGCCCGGGGCUUAACCCCGGGUGUGCAGUGGGUACGGGCAGACUAGAGUGCAGUAGGGGAGACUGGAAUUCCUGGUGUAGCGGUGGAAUGCGCAGAUGUCAGGAGGAACACCGAUGGCGAAGGCAGGUCUCUGGGCUGUUACUGACGCUGAGGAGCGAAAGCAUGGGGAGCGAACAGGAUUAGAUACCCUGGUAGUCCAUGCCGUAAACGUUGGGCACUAGGUGUGGGGGACAUUCCACGUUUUCCGCGCCGUAGCUAACGCAUUAAGUGCCCCGCCUGGGGAGUACGGCCGCAAGGCUAAAACUCAAAGGAAUUGACGGGGGCCCGCACAAGCGGCGGAGCAUGCGGAUUAAUUCGAUGCAACGCGAAGAACCUUACCAAGGCUUGACAUAUACCGGAUCGUUCCAGAGAUGGUUCUUCCCCUUUGGGGUCGGUAUACAGGUGGUGCAUGGUUGUCGUCAGCUCGUGUCGUGAGAUGUUGGGUUAAGUCCCGCAACGAGCGCAACCCUCGUUCCAUGUUGCCAGCACGUGAUGGUGGGGACUCAUGGGAGACUGCCGGGGUCAACUCGGAGGAAGGUGGGGAUGACGUCAAAUCAUCAUGCCCCUUAUGUCUUGGGCUUCACGCAUGCUACAAUGGCCGGUACAAAGGGUUGCGAUACUGUGAGGUGGAGCUAAUCCCAAAAAGCCGGUCUCAGUUCGGAUUGAGGUCUGCAACUCGACCUCAUGAAGUCGGAGUCGCUAGUAAUCGCA